RNAcentral lists this ribosomal RNA (2652 nucleotides) under Nicotiana tabacum (common tobacco). RNAcentral describes it as "bacterial LSU rRNA". The stretch from base 510 to 2652 matches the Rfam family "Bacterial large subunit ribosomal RNA", at positions 1 to 2406 of the family's 2925-position model. The record is from RNAcentral. Lineage: Eukaryota; Viridiplantae; Streptophyta; Magnoliopsida; Solanales; Solanaceae.
AGUAUACCGAAUCAGUAUAGCUAUCCUUCUUUUGACACAGCAACGCAAUUUGAAAUAGUAUCAAAAGUAAGUACUAAAUAAUUUCUUUUUUCCUUUACUUGUUGAUGUAAAAUCAUCUUCCAUUCAAUAGAAAAUUCUUUCAAUUCAACGAAAGAGAUUCUCAUAUUCACACAAUUUAAGUAGAUGCGAGAUAUAGAAAUUUUCUUUUCGUAGUUGUGGAAGCAGUUUUGUUGUCGGAAUCCUUUUUUUAAAGAAGAAGUUAAUGGUCGAGUAAGAAAUAAGAGUAGUAGAUCAUAUUCGAGGAAAGAAAAAAUCGAAUAAUUGGAAUCCAUAGUUGUGAUGCAUUGUUGUGGAUCUCGAUCCAAAGGUUCUUUCUUGAUCUAGCUACAAGGAUGGGGCAGUAGGGAAAGAUAAAAUGUGGAACCUAAUAGAAAUUACUAGUUUUAGAAUCUAGUUGGACAAAAAAAAGAUUUUUUCAAGCGAUUGUGUGAUAACUUUUUCUUCUUCUCCAUCAUUCAAGAUAUUAUGUGAAUUAAUAUAUUACUAAAUCUAAUGAGUUAAACUUAAAUUAAAGUAAAAAGAAAAAGUUUUAUAAGGUAACUGUUCGCUUUAAAAUAAGAGCCUGCGUGCCUGUUGAAGAAUGAGCCGGCGACUCAUAGGCAGUGGCUUGGUUAAGGGAAUCCACCGGAGCCGUAGCGAAAGUGAGUCUUCAUAGGGAAAUUGUCACUGCUUAUGGACCCGAACCUGGGUGAUCUAUCUAUGACCAGGAUGAAGCUUGGGUGAAACUAAGUGGAGGUCCGAACUGACUGAUGUUAAAGAAUCAGCGAAUGAGUUGUGGUUAGGGGUGAAAUGCCACUCGAACCCAGAGCUAGCUGGUUUUCCCUGAAAUGCGUUGAGGCACAGCAGUUGACUGGAUAUCUAUGGGUAAAGCACUAUUUCGGUGCGGGCCGCGAGAGCGGUACCAAAUCGAGGCAAACUAUGUAUACUAGAUAUGACCUCAAAAUAACUGGGGUCAAGGUCGGCUAGUGAGACGAUGGGGGAUAAGCUUCAUUGUCGAGAGGGAAACAGCCCGAAUCACCAGCUAAGGCCCCUAAAUGAUUGCUCAGUGAUAAAGGAGGUAGGGGUGCAGAGACAACCAGGAGGUUUGCCUAGAAGCAGCCACCCUUGAAAGAGUGCGUAAUAGCUCACUUAUUGAGCGCUCUUGCGCCGAAGAUGAACGGGGCUAAGCGAUCUGCCGAAGCUGUGGGAUGUGAAAAUACAUUGGUAGGGGAGCGUUCCGCCUUAGAGAGAAGCAUCCGUGUGAGCGGUGGUGGACAAAGCGGAAGCGAGAAUGUCAGCUUGAGUAAAGUAAACAUUAGUGAGAAUCCAAUCGCAAACCUAAGGGUUCCUCCGCAAGGUUCUUCCACGGAGGGUGAGUCAGGGCCUAAGAUCAGGCCGAAAGGCGUAGUCAAUAGACAACAGGUGAAUAUUCAUGUACUGCCCCUUGUUGGUCAUGAGGGACGGAGGAGGCUAGGUUAGCUGAAAGAUGGUUAUCGGUUCAAGAAUGUAAGGUGUCCCUGCUUUGUUAGGGUAUGAAGGGGUAGAGAAAAUGCCUCGAGCCAAUGUUCGAAUACCAGGUGCUACGACGCUGAAGUAACCCAUGCCAUACUCUCCGAAAAGCUCGAACGACUUUGAGCAAGAGGGUACCUAUACCCGAAACCGACACAGGUGGGUAGGUAGAGAAUACUUAGGGGCGUGAGACAACUCUCUCUAAGGAACUCGGCAAAAUAGCCCCGUAACUUUGGGAGAAGGGGUGCCUCCUUACAAAGGGGGGUCGUAGUGACCAGGCCCGGACGACUGUUUACCAAGAACACAGGUCUCCGCAAAGUCGUAAGACCAUGUUUGGGGGCUGACGCCUUGCCAGUGCCGGAAGGUCAAGGAAGUUGGUGACCUGAUAACAGGGGAGCCGGCGACCAAAGCCCCGGUGAACGGCGGCUGUAACUAUAACGGUCCUAAGGUAGCGAAAUUCCUUGUCGGGUAAGUUCCGAUCCGCACGAAAGGCGUGACGAUAUGGGCACUGUCUCGGAGAGAGGCUCGGUGAAAUAGACAUGUCUGUGAAGAUGCGGACUACCUGCACCUGGACAGAAAGACCCUAUGAAGCUUCACUGUUCCCUGGGAUUGGCUUUGGGCCUUUCCUGCGCAGCUUAGGUGGAAGGCGAAGAAGGCCUCCUUCCGGGGGGGCCCGAGCCAUCAGNACAGGGGAGCCGGCGACCGAAGCCCCGGUGAACGGCGGCUGUAACUAUAACGGUCCUAAGGUAGCGAAAUUCCUUGUCGGGUAAGUUCCGAUCCGCACGAAAGGCGUGACGAUAUGGGCACUGUCUCGGAGAGAGGCUCGGUGAAAUAGACAUGUCUGUGAAGAUACAGACUAGUUGCACCUAGAUAGAAAGACCCUAUGAAGCUUCACUGUUCCCUGGGAUUGGCUUUGGGCCUUUCCUGCGCAGCUUAGGUGGAAGGCGAAGAAGGCCUCCUUCCGGGUGGGCCCAAGCANAAGGAAGUUGGUGACCUGAUGACAGGGGAGCCGGCGACCGAAGCCCCGGUGAACGGCGGCCGUAACUAUAACGGUCCUAAGGUAGCGAAAUUCCUUGUCGGGUAAGUUCCGACCCGCACGAAAGG